This is a long non-coding RNA of Myotis myotis, 850 nucleotides long. RefSeq lists it as uncharacterized. NCBI's taxonomy places the organism in Eukaryota, Metazoa, Chordata, Mammalia, Chiroptera, Vespertilionidae. The transcript has 5 exons. The record is from RefSeq and is a predicted model, not a curated record.
CCAUCCUCUCCCCGUGAAUGGGGUUAGUUGGCAGUUCCCACGCUGUAGGCUGCGCUCCGUAGGGUAGCCCCGGGCAAAAAAAAAAAAAAAAAAAAAAAGGGGCGGGGGGAGCCGGGAUAGAAAGCUCUCCCAGAGCAGGUGGCAGCGCCCAGCAGCUUGGAGAGGUGGCCCGCGGGUAUCACGUGGGAAAGGAGAGAGCGUGGGAGGGCUGUCUAACCGCGGAGACCUUUUUCCUCUAGGCACUCCGCCCUGUAGGAACGGCUACACUGAGGUUUGGGCCUUUGCCCUGUUAUAUUCACGUUCCAGACCUUUACCAUGAAUCCUUGGACCGGCUGAUGCAGGUUUCUGCCGGAAUCCCACUUCUCUGCACUGGGAGACCUUGGCUCAGCUCUUUAGAACUGUCUUGAGUUCCUCUCUGAAGGUUUGAACUAGUGCAAGAAUGGCCUGCCUGACCAGUUCCAUUGCUCUCUCUGGGCUAAUUAUUUGACUACUCUUUUGAGUAAACACCAUAAGGGGCCCAACACCAAUCUACGAGCGAUGGCAGAAGAAAGGAAACUUCUUUGCUCGUUUGAUCUAGCAUAUAAUGUGUGCAGAACUGAUUCAAAGAGAUCUAAUAUUGUGCUUUUGUAAACCUGCAUAGGUACACCCACAGCUCUAAGGUGGUAUGGAGGUCCACCUAGAAGUCUUCAGUGCAGCAAAGAAAAAUCCUGAAAGGAAACCCUGUGUGUCAUCAACUACUAAUAAGAUUACCUGUGUUAGGUGUAGCAUGGUGGUAAAAAUAUGUGCGGUGCGUUCAUCAUCUUGGCGUUGCCACUUACUAGCUGCCUGACAAUGAGCAAGUCACCUGCUG